UGUGAUGUCAGAAUUAUGCUUUUCAGCCUGU
This 31-nucleotide non-coding RNA is filed under the name Mus musculus (house mouse). The record is from RNAcentral. Lineage: Eukaryota; Metazoa; Chordata; Mammalia; Rodentia; Muridae.